RNAcentral lists this ribosomal RNA (552 nucleotides) under Triticum aestivum (bread wheat). RNAcentral describes it as "partial small subunit ribosomal RNA". The record is from RNAcentral. Lineage: Eukaryota; Viridiplantae; Streptophyta; Magnoliopsida; Poales; Poaceae.
AUGCCGUCGCGCUCGCUCCGCGUCGCCGUCAUCGGCGCCGGGGCCGCCGGCCUGGUGGCGGCGCGCGAGCUGCGGCGCGAAGGCCACGCCCCCGUCGUGUUCGAGCGCACCGACGGCGUGGGCGGCACCUGGGUCUACGAAGCCGACGCCGACGCGUCCGCCUCGCCGGAGCCGCCCGUCACCCAGCGGCGCUCGAACCUCUACGCGUCCCUCCGCACCAACCUCCCGCGCGAGUGCAUGGGCUUCCUCGACUUCCCCUUCGUCGCGGGCCCCGACGGCGACCCCCGCAGGUUCCCCGGCCACGCGGAGGUGCUCCGGUACCUCCAGAGCUUCGCGCGGCGGUUCGACCUCCACGGCCUCGUCCGGCUGGAGACGGAGGUGGUCCGGGUGAGCAGGGAGGCGAGCGGCACCAGCUGGCGCGUCAGGUACUCGAGGAAGGCGCCCGGCAGCGAGAAGCGCGAAGCGGAGGAGGAGGUGUUCGACGCCGUCGUCGUCUGCAACGGCCACUACUCCAAGCCGCACUUCGCCGACGUCGCCGGCGCGGAUGCUUGA